Cornus florida is the source of this 9221-nucleotide long non-coding RNA. RefSeq lists it as uncharacterized. Lineage: Eukaryota; Viridiplantae; Streptophyta; Magnoliopsida; Cornales; Cornaceae. The record is from RefSeq and is a predicted model, not a curated record. The transcript is spliced from 4 exons.
UGUUGGGACGCCACUAUUUUCUGACGCCUAGAUAUUAGUCGAAAAAUUCCCUCUUUUGGUGACUUCAAAUUUUUGGCGUAAGAUAUAAGGGGUCAAUUCCGACGCCUACUGGUAGGGGUCGGAAAUACAUUUUUCACUCCCUUUUUAUUCACCUCCCCGGCCUUUUUUUUUUUUUUGGGCCCAGCCUUUAUUUUUUGGGACAAAACGUCGGGUAAAAUUGGUUUUUUCCGACGUUAAGGGAGGUUGGAAAAAUCUAAACGACACCGUAUAGAGUUGGAUCUAUUAUUAUUAUUAUUUUUCAAACAUGUUAAUUUGGACUCUUAUCCAAACGCUGUCUUGUGCUUUGGGGUCGCCGAUGAACCACACCAUUUUCCCCAAAUUUCUUUUACUCCAGUUUAGCUCGCAUUUUGUUCAGCUCGCAAUUUGUUCAUCAAGCAUUUCAAUUGUCAAUCGAAGCAUUUCAAUCGUCAAUCAUUUGCAUUCUGUUCAUCAAGCAUUUUAUCAACGAUCAUUUGCACUCUUCGUCCUCGAUUAUUUGCUUUAUUUUCAUCAAGCACUUCAUCAUUUGCGAUCUAGCAGCUGAAACGAUGGAUAAGAGUUGGAUGCAGAUUCUAACUAGGGUUCAUCCACUGUACUUGAAAGGAAUAGAAGAUUUCAUUCAGUUUGUGAGUGGUCAUCUGGAUGGUUUAAAUAGAGCGCACUGUCCAUGUCGUAGUUGUAAAAACAAAGUAGUAAGGCAACUGAAAGAAGUGGAGGAUCAUUUAUACAAGUAUGAAAUGUACAAACAAUACACGGCUUGGAUAUAUCAUGGAGAGAGUGUUCAAAACUCAAAAAAUGAUCAAGUCGAGCUUGGUGUUAAUGAUAUAGAAGACCAAAGUGGAAAUGCUGACGAGGUGCAUGAAUACUUGGAAGACAUACAGAUUGGAGAAUACAUGAAUAUUAAACAAGAAUAUAUUCAACAUAAUAACAGACCACUUAAUAUCCCUGAAGGUGAGGGGGAAGGAGGUGCAUAUAGGUUUGCGAGAUUGUUGUAGAAUUCAUAAUGUGAGGUUGUUGAUUCAUGGUUGAUAAAGUGUUUUGCACUUUAAAUGUGUUAUAACAUGUGUCUUGUUGAUAAGAUGGUUCAGCAUAUACAGGGUUCAGAACUCAAAAGUUCAGCACUAACAUGGUUUAGCACAUAUAGGGUUUGGCACCUAAAGGUUCGGCACUUAAAGGUUCGGCACCUAAAGGUUCAGCACUUGAAGGUUCGGCAAGUUCAUGGUUCAGCAAGCUCAUGGUUUAGCACAGGUUGCAGGAAAGUUCUCCCAUAUAUCUAUUGAAGGCUGAAGGCUAAAUGGGCUAUAGCAAGCAACAUCUGGUUUAAGCAUUUCAAUACAAGGCUGAAGGCUAAAGGCUGAAGGCUAAAUGGGCUGCAGCAAGCAACGUCUGGUUUAAGCAACAAGUGUCAAGUUAAAGGGCAUUUUUGGGAGUCCAUAUACAAUGGUGGUCACAAGGCUGUACAAUGAAUAUUCAAAUGACAUGUGCACAGUGGUCUUUCAGAGAGAGUGUGAUAUCAGCCUUGCUUUGUCUCUAAGGAAAAGAAUUUCAAAAACAAGUCUGCUAUAUGUAUUUGUGACCUGUGAAUGAGCUUGGAAUAUACCACUGCCACGUGGCAUUGUGGUCCUGUAGAAAGAAGGCUGUACAGCGAAUUCAUUGGCUAAUGGAGGAUUGAUCUUAUCCUCUAUAGGGUUUUCUAUGUUGCAUAUAAAAGGGCUGUUAUAGCAUUCAACAAGGUGUGCCUCUUUGAGUGAAAAAGCAAGGUAUGCAGCUGUGGUGAGAGGUUUUAUUCGUGAGCUAAGAAUGAACAACAAUUUUUGAGAUAUUGCAUGAUGUUUGAGCUCCAAUGAAUCUAAAAAAUUUGCCUAAAGAAAGUACAGUUGCAGAUAUGAGAAGUGAGGCUGAUUGGUGCUGAUUUUCUGAUGCAAAAGGUGGCUGAAGUGAUUCAAAGUUGCUGGGGUCGUGUCUAAAGCUUGAACAAAGGGCUGAGCAUACAUAUUUUGGUGAUAUACAACAGGUGAAGGUGCCUGAGACCACAUAUUAAGGUUGGUAUUGAAUAUCAUAUCUCAAACCUCUAGAUAAUCUUGGUUUUCUGGUUUAAGCUGUUGAAACUGAACUUAGAAAGCUAUAACCAUGCUAUAUUAUGAAGUGAACUAAUUUGAUCAAUGAUGCUAGCUAUGCUGUGAUAAUCAUCUGAGCAUCUAUAAUUUGCUGAAAUAUGACUUAGGGUGUAGGGCUUAUGUUGAUGUUGCUGUGAAAUUCCAUUUCUGCCCCAUUAUCAGUGCUGCAGCAGAAACUGAUUUACACAUUGAUCUCGGACUUUAAUUUAUUUACACCUUGCAAUUAUCUCUGAAAUAUUACCUUGAGCAGGUGUUAUAUAUUGAGAUUUAACUGUGUGUGUGCUGUAUUGUUGAUUCUUGGUAUGCAUAUCUUCUCCCAGUUAGACCAAGCAUAAUAUAUUUAUUCCGAGCCAGUUUUAUGAAUAUUUAAAUUCUAUAUUGAGUUCUGUUGAACACUGAGCUGAAGACUAUCACUGAGCAAGUUUAUAUUGCUAAAAGAAGACUGAGUUCAUUCAGGUUGAGGUCAAUUUGAAGCUGCAUUGAAGAAAGCCUUUCUAUUCUUUAAGGCUCGGGUUUUAAGUGAAAAUAAGCCUGUUCUGCACUAUAAUUGUCAUACCUUGCUUUAUAAUUUGUUCCAAUCAAUUGAGCAAGUUUAUUUGGCCUGUUGAAGAAUGGGGGAGUGAAGUUUGAGCAGGUUCUGAAGCGUGGGAGUAGAUAUUGUUGAGGUUUGAUCUGAACGUAGGGGCUACAUUGUUGAGUAUUUGUGCUGCUGCCUAUUGAAGUUUGUUUGCUAAACACAAACUGUUUCGGGGCUGGCAUUGUGUUAUCUUGCUGUGAUUAAUGUUUAUUUCAUUUGUGCAAGUGUGCUAAGAUUAUAAAGCAGUGGAAGACAUUUACAGGGCUGAACCGAGGCUACAUUGUGAAAAGACCAUUCUACCCUUGAUUUUGUGAAUCAAGCCUUUUGUGAAGUGACAUUGUGAUACCUUGCUCCAAUCACUGUGAAUCUUGUUGAGCAGGGUGUAUGAAGAUAUCAAGGCUACAGGUGACAAGUGCAGGUCAGUUCUGAAGCUGCAGAGUGAAGUUAUUUCAUUACCCUUGAAUUUGGGAUUUUACCUUGAGAGUGUUGUUUGUGUUUUACCUUGCUUAUCUACUUGUGCUAUCCUUACAAGCAAAUGUAUUCGACUAAUUCAAGGUUAUGUGAACCUAGUUUGAUAUUCAAGUGAAGCUAUAUUGUGCCGAGGGAGAUUUAUUUUAUUGAUUGCAGAAGAGAGAAGCUAGGAUUGCACUGUAUUCUUUGAUUCAAGGUUGAGUUCUACAUUCUUAUCUUGUGGUGCAGCCGAAGUAAAUUGUAUUUAGUGUGUUGACACUUCAUUAUAUAUGGUAGUGAGGCUUUACAUCCUUACCCCAUUGUUGAUCAAGCUAUUGAGAGCUUUAUGUGUCCAAGCAUAGGGGCUGUGGACUGGGGGAGUGCCGGUGUGCACAUUGUUUGAUCUUGUGUGUGUGUAGGUGGAGUGAAAGUUAGUGUCUUAGUGAGUACAAGGUGGUUGGAAAGUGGGGCAACUGAGUGAGUAAUUACUUGCAUGCAGCAAGUGAAGAUGGUGAACUAGUGAGUGUGAAUUGCUUGCGAAAACUAGUGUCUAUUCUUGUGCCUGGGUGUGUGCAGAGAGUGAGACAGUUAAGUGUGUAACAAGGUUCAUACUACUAGUGGAGGCAUUUUUUGGCUGAGGCCAAGAACCAAGGUUUUUCCCUAUUGUUAGGGUUUCCUUGUAUAUCUUGUGUCAUGUUGAAGACUUCAAGUCUAAGCUCUCAGUCUUAAUCUCUUUUUCACUUGUCAUUUGUAACAUAGUGAAGCUCAGAUCAAAGAAAGUAUUGUGGAAAAACAGCAUUGUUAAAGAGAGGGCUGCAACCUUUUUGACAGAUAAAAGCAAGGCUAAACAAGGUUCUAGUGCUGAGGUUGAUUACAUUGCAAAAAAUCUCUUUAGUCUCAGGCUCAAGAAGCAAAGUCAAUCUGGGAAUGAGGUCUAUUACAGAUUUAGAAGAUGGAUCUUUGAAAGGAGCUGGUUACAGAAGUUUAACAAUAAGAAAAGGGGCUCAACGUUGCAGAGGGUUAAGAAAAAGAAAGGUCAUAAAGGACUGUCCAGUGCUCUUAGUAUAAUUGCUCACAUGUCUAAAUAUGAGAAGUUUAAUAACUAUACUCAGAUUACAUCUAUGAAAAUUCAAGGAAACUUUAGUUUGAGUUGUCUAAAGAGAGCUCUGAUCCCUAAAUGGAAAUCUAAUCCUGAAAAAUCAUUGAAGCAACAAGCUGAAAUGAAGAGUGAAGAUAUAUCCACAGCAGAGAAUGUUACACUUGAAGAUGUUGGUGAUAAACAUAAUUCAUAUUGGCAACUUUCAAGAAGUGUAUCUUUUGAUCAAUUCAAAGCCAGUUUAUCUAUCAUGAACUCCAUCUCAUUUGCAGCCUACUACCUAACAGAUUUCAGAUCAAAAGUCUCAUUGAGAAGACUUGAAAAAUGUAGAAAAUUGCAUCUGUGGUGUUCCACUUCUUAUGCUUCUGAAGAAGGCUUAUUGAAAUCUCAAGAAGACUAGAAGAAUAUUCUUAAAUUGAUUCAAGAAGUUGAUAGUGUUCACAAGGGUGAAGUUACAAAAUGUUUAAAAUAGGCUCAGUCAAUAGCUCUUAAAGAUGAAACUGUCCUUGUUCACAAAGAUCUUCCAACUGUCCUAAACUUUGUCAAUUCAGUUUUUAAGCCUCUAAAGAGAAGACCACCUAAUGUUGAACACAUAGAGAUUUAUAGUCCCUCUUCCACUAAUCCCUUCAUCAAAUCAAAACAGACAUGCUCAGUGAUAAAGUCUAUAUAUUCAAGGUUCAGGAUCAACACAUGCUUUUCAAGUUCAAAAACUGGUUGUCACAUCAAAGUAAGUGGAUUUCAAGCUUCGGAGAUGAUUGUUCUCAUAGCCACAAGUUCUUCAAGAAUAGGUAAACUUGCUAAAUUCUCAAAAGUUCAAGAACUCAAAGCCUCCAUAUGCCUAUCAAAGUUGAAAUUCAGAAACAAAAGAAAUUUAAGGUACCUUGAAGAGGAAAAGGAUGAAGAAGACAAUAAUUUUGCAAUUCAACUCUUAAAUGAAUCCAAAAUUCAGUGUGGAACUAAGGGUGCUGCAAACUGUUUUGAAUCAAAUCUGGUAUCAAAUCACUCUUCACUUACCUCUACAACCAAGCUUUCUAUUCCUUCACAAGCCUGUUCUCAACAUAGUUGGAUGAAGAUGAAAAUGUCAGACAUAGAGUCUCAAUCUCAAAGCUUAUAAAGUUUAUUUAUCCCUUCAAGACCUCCUCCACUGAGAGAUAAGAACCUGAAAAUUGAUCUUGAAGGUGCAUUGAUGGAUGUUGCAGCUCAAUCAAUCCAUUGUGUCCUUUCAAGGGUUAUUCUUAGUUGGAGCUGCAGACAACCAACAUUUGUUAAAGCCCUUAAACAUCACUCUCUAUGUUUACCAAUCUCAAGGGUGGUCAAUCUCAGGCCUCCUUCUCUCAGAGACAAGGAUGUGAAAAUUGUUACAGCAGGUAUGGUGUUCAAUUUGGUAGCUCCUUGUUCAGAAUUCUUCUAUCUUUUUUCAAAGUUUGUACCUCAUCUCCUCUAAUACUUCCCAAUUGAAAAGUUUCUAGCCUUUAACUCUUUAUUUUGACAUCUAUUUACCUUUUGACUUCCAAUGUCAAAAAGGGGGAGAAAUGGACUAAUAGGUUUUUAACAUUUGAAAGUGCAAAAGGUGGAGAUUGUUGAUUCACGGUUGAUCAAGUGUUUUGCACUUUAAAUGUGUUAUAACAUGUGUCUUGUUGAUAAGAUGGUUCAGCACAUACAGGGUUCGGAACUCAAAGGUUCAGCACAUACAGGGUUCGGCACCUAAAGGUUCGGCAAGUUCAUGGUUCAGCAAGUUCAUGGUUCAGCACAGGCUACAGGAAAGUUCUCCCAUAUAUCUACUGAAGGCUAAAGGCUAAAUGGGCUGCAGCAAGUAACAUCUGGUUUAAGCAUUUUAAUACAAGGCUGAGAGCUGAAGGCUAAAUGGGCUGCAGCAAGCAACGUCUGGUUUAAGCAACAAGUGUCAAGUUGAAGGGCAUUUCUGGAAGUCCAUAUACAAUGGUGGUCACAAGGAUGUACAAUGAAUAUUCAAAUGACACGUGCACAGUGGUCCUUCAGAGAAAGUGUGAUAUUAGCCUUGCUUUGUCUUUAAGGAAAAGAAUUUAAAAAACAAGUCUGCUAUGUGUGUUUGUGAGCUGUGAAUGAGCUUGGAAUAUACCACUGCCACGUGGCAUUGUGGUCCUGCAGAGAGAAGGCUGUACAAUGAAUUAAUUGGCUAAUGGAGGAUUGAUCUUAUCCUCUCUAGGGUUUUCUAUGUUGCAUAUAAAAGGGCUGUUAUAACAUUCAGCAAGGUGUGCCUCUUUGAGUGAAAAAGCAAGGUUUACAGCUGCGGUGAGAGCUUUUAUUCGUGAGUUGAGAAUGAACAACAAUUUCUGAGAUAUUGCAUGAUGUUUGAGCUCUAAUGAAUCUCAAAAAUUUGCCUGAAGAAAGCACAGUUGCAGAUACGAGAAGUGAGGCUGAUUGGUGCUGAUUUUCUGAUGCAAAAGGUGGCUGAAGUGAUUCAAAGUUGCUGGGGUCGUGUCUGAAGCUUGAACAAAGGGCUGAGCAUACAUAUUUUGGUGAUAUACAACAGCUGAAGGUGCUCGAGACUACAUAUUAAGGCUGGUACAGGAUACAAGAUUGGAGAUUGAAAUUGCUUGCAUGAUUUGCUGAGUUGAGCUUCUUUAGAAGCAUUCUUGUUCACAUGUUUUUAGAUUCAAGUUUGGGGGCGUGGCUUUUGGAAUUCACAUGGUGGCAUAUUGUUACAACGCCACAAAUUUUCUUCCUACUCGGUAUUAUUGCUCUUUUUACCCUCUCUAUUUUUCAUUUUUCAUUCUUUGUCUUCUCACAUUGAGGGCAAUGUGACAUUCAAGUUUGGGGGUAUCAUUUUGGUAUGAAUCUUUGAUUUUGGUAUGCAUUUUUGUUUGCAUGUGCAAAAAUUGUUCAUGUAAAUUGAUAAAAUAAUUUUUGGGAAGUAAGGAUCUUGUAAUCUUGGAACUUGUUAGAGACUGAACCAUGUAUUUAAUACUUUGUGUAUAGAGGCAAAUGAUAGUUUUGAAAUAAAGAAAAAUCUAAAAUGAUCAUAUUGAUUCAAAUUAGUUUGUAUAAAUGCUUCAAUUAGAUUUUCGUCAGAUUUUAUUCUCUUCUAUGCUUCACACUUUUACAGAUGCACACCAGAAACUUAAUUGUGAGGCAUGCAACUUAAUUUACCUUGACCAUGACUUAGUUGAUUUGAAUUGAUGACCCUAAUGAAUGGAUACCUUUGGCAUGAAACUUAUUAAAAAAAAAAAUUGACUAGCUGAAGUUCGUAGCCUUGCUAACUCGAGUUAUUAAGCCUUUGGAUUGUCCUUACACUUAGCACCCUAAAGCCAUCCAAUUUGGGAGUUGUUGGCCUAACACUUGCUACAUGGGUUAGUUAGAAAGCUUAAGGGACAUAGACAUUGCAUGGUCAUUCACAAAAAAUUAAAAAUAAAUAAAUAAAUAUGGUUAGUUUGAGUUCGUAGCCUUGCUAAUUUGAGUUAUUAAGCCUUUGGAGUGUCCUUACACUUAGCACCCUAAAGCCAUCCGGUUUGGGAGUUGCUGGCCUAACACUUGCUACAUGGGUUAGUUAGAAAGCUUAAGGGACUUUGACAUUGCACGGCCAUAAAAAAAAAAUAAUAAUAAAUAACAACAACAAAAGUUGUAUUUUGAAUAAAUUCAUGACUUAGAGGCCUCAUUUAAAAGGGAAAUUCAAUGAUUUGAAGACUUGUGUACUUGAAAUGGGAAAAAAGGGUAAAAGCCACAUAUUGGGAAUCCGGUUCACUUUAAAUGAAGCUAGAGAUGAUUUCUUUUAUAGAUAUGAAAAUUGAAGUAUUUAUAUGGACUAUGAUGUUGAUUCAUGAGAAUUGAAAUAUGUUUGGCCAUUUUGUUAUAUCAAGGCUUCUUAUACACAAGGUAGUCUUCGUAAUGAUUCCAUCUCCAAUGUUCUCUGUUCUAAGUUGCAAAUGAGCCUUGUGCAUCUUCGUGCACCAUGAUUGAUACUUUUGGGUAGCAUUCCAAUUGUUGUCAAUUCAUUAAGUAUUUAUUUUGGUUUUGCUAUGGGACUAGCAAAAUGUAAGUUUGGGGAUAUGAUAAGUGCCAAAUAUUGUAUAUUCAAGCACUCUUAUUUGCAUUAGUUAAGUCUAUUAGUUGGUUCUAUUGUUUAGGUUAUCUUUAUUUGCAUGUCUUUGUUUAUUUUUUGGUUUGUUUCCCAAAAAGGAAUAAGAAUGAUGUUUUGAUGAGUUCUUGAAGAUCAAAGCAUGCCGGGCCGGGGAUCUCCAGUUUGCAAAGCUAAUUCGUGCCAUUGAACUCAUGGCAUUCUCUGCAUCAUGCCAAGAAGGAAACUAGCAUUAUCGGGCCAGGACAAAGUCAUUUCAAGAAGGAGAUUUGAGCCCAGGAGCAUUGCGGGGCCUCGCCAUGCACUGCAAGUGCCCGCCAAUUUGUCCAGUAGGUUUCAAAUUUGGUGUGGCCCGUCCAUGCAUUAUGGGCCCCCGCCAUUUGCUAUCAUGAGAGCCAUGGAUGCCCUUUGCCAGUGCAUGGAAGUCCCCUUAACACCUCGCAGGCGCCCUCCAAGCUACAGACAGUAGGUCACCAAUUCCAUUGUUUUGCUCAAUGUUGUCCCCUUGACUAAAUGAAUGGCUCUGCACUAUUCUAGGGAUUUCUAACCACGAGAUUAAUUGAUUUUGGGAGGAUUUUUGGCUCAUAAAAAGGGUUUGAAUGGUUGUGAAGAGAUAUCCAACAUUAUAAGUUUUUCUAGAGAGAGAAAUAUUAUAUUAUUGAGAGCUUGGGUUGGAGCUUGCUUCUAGGGUGAAAAUGGAGGGGCUGAUCCUCUCAACCUCUUCCUCCCUUGCUUCUAUGGGUAACUAACUCCCUUUCUAGGGAGGUGAUGAAGCCCUUCUUUGUAAGCAUGCUUUAGUUUUGUUUAAUUUGGGGAAUGAAGUAUGUAUAUGGUAGUUUCAUAAUCUAGAGCACUAAACUUGAUUGAAUGGAGUUUAAUCUCUAUAAA